Marmota flaviventris (yellow-bellied marmot) is the source of this 336-nucleotide non-coding RNA. Lineage: Eukaryota; Metazoa; Chordata; Mammalia; Rodentia; Sciuridae. The record is from RefSeq and is a predicted model, not a curated record.
CACGGGUCUGGCGGACGUGCCGUCGGCUCGCUGGCCUUGCUGCUACGGCGCGCGCCCGCGCCUCACGUGGAAACACCGUUGGCAGAACAUUAACUACCAGUUCUUGGGCAAGAGGAAGAGACACCUAGUUCCCCUGCGUCCGUGAGAACUGGGAUUUGGGGACACAGGCUUCAGGCUUUUCACAUGAUGAUCCCAAAGCAGACUUGUGCAGGUUGAGCAGAAAGCUGGCCUGGGACUGGCAGUACUGCGUGAUCCACUGUCCCCUCUCUAUGGAUGAAGAAUAUCUACCUUUCCUCUCCCUCCUGGAGUCUCUGAGUUCCUGUCCUUCAUGCCCCC